Molecule: long non-coding RNA, 199 nt
Filed under: Phoenix dactylifera (date palm)
Lineage: Eukaryota; Viridiplantae; Streptophyta; Magnoliopsida; Arecales; Arecaceae
Description: long non-coding RNA (PDAC_LNC007271)
Source: RNAcentral
GGAGGAAGAAAAUAUAAUUAAAGCUAAUCUCUAUUGUCAGGAGGGAAGUUACCCCCUCAUAUAGUGAUCGCCUACAUAGUAUAAUCUGUUAUCAAUACACUAAUUCCAUCUAAAUGAAUUGGUUGAUCGUCCAUUGCUUAAUCAAGUAAACAGAUGAUGAUUUUAUCAUAACUUGAUCAUAAAAGCAUGAGACAACAGC